RNAcentral lists this transfer RNA (83 nucleotides) under Oryctolagus cuniculus (rabbit). It matches the Rfam family "tRNA". Rfam says of the family: Transfer RNA (tRNA) molecules are approximately 80 nucleotides in length. Their secondary structure includes four short double-helical elements and three loops (D, anti-codon, and T loops). The record is from Rfam by way of RNAcentral. Lineage: Eukaryota; Metazoa; Chordata; Mammalia; Lagomorpha; Leporidae.
GGUGCUGUGGCUAAGCAGGUAAAGCCGCUGUCUGCAAUGCUGGCAGCCCAUAUGGGAGCCAGAUCCAAGUCCUGGCAGCUCCA